RNAcentral lists this ribosomal RNA (497 nucleotides) under uncultured bacterium. RNAcentral describes it as "partial 16S ribosomal RNA". It matches the Rfam family "Bacterial small subunit ribosomal RNA", at positions 28 to 507 of the family's 1533-position model. The record is from RNAcentral.
GAUGAACGCUGGCGGCGUGCCUAAUACAUGCAAGUCGAGCGAACGGACGAGAAGCUUGCUUCUCUGAUGUUAGCGGCGGACGGGUGAGAAACACGUGGAUAACCUACCUAUAAGACUGGGAUAACUUCGGGAAACCGGAGCUAAUACCGGAUAAUAUUUUGAACCGCAUGGUUCAAAAGUGAAGGACGGUCUUGCUGUCACUUAUAGAUGGAUCCGCGCUGCAUUAGCUAGUUGGUAAGGUAACGGCUUACCAAGGCAACGAUGCAUAGCCGACCUGAGAGGGUGAUCGGCCACACUGGAACUGAGACACGGUCCAGACUCCUACGGGAGGCAGCAGUAGGGAAUCUUCCGCAAUGGGCGAAAGCCUGACGGAGCAACGCCGCGUGAGUGAUGAAGGUCUUCGGAUCGUAAAACUCUGUUAUUAGGGAAGAACAUAUGUGUAAGUAACUGUGCACAUCUUGACGGUACCUAAUCAGAAAGCCACGGCUAACUACGUG